UCGUGGAGUGAUCUGUCUGCUUAAUUGCGUUUCAGAUAAUAUGGGGGUUUUAAGGUAUUUACGACGUACUGUAUGCUUCGGUAUGCUUACUUAGUAGCCUGCCCCUUUGAAAGCAACGAACGUGACCUCAAACCUAUGUUACCUCUUUUUUCUUUUCGUUUGUAUACA
RNAcentral lists this ribosomal RNA (168 nucleotides) under uncultured eukaryote. RNAcentral's name for it is "partial 18S ribosomal RNA". The record is from RNAcentral.